This 106-nucleotide microRNA precursor is filed under the name Arabis alpina (gray rockcress). RNAcentral describes it as "miRNA ENSRNAG00050204973". Lineage: Eukaryota; Viridiplantae; Streptophyta; Magnoliopsida; Brassicales; Brassicaceae. The record is from RNAcentral.
CAGACGUCAUCACGGUUUUUGCUCUGUCUACAUUUGGGAAAGUAGAAUGACCUCACGUCAUCGCUUUUUUCCCGAAUAUAGACAAAGAAAUACCGAGAUAACGUGU